This 319-nucleotide ribosomal RNA is filed under the name Neogloboquadrina pachyderma. RNAcentral's name for it is "partial 18S ribosomal RNA". It matches the Rfam family "Eukaryotic small subunit ribosomal RNA", at positions 1164 to 1420 of the family's 1831-position model. Lineage: Eukaryota; Foraminifera; Rotaliida; Globorotaliidae. The record is from RNAcentral.
GCACCACAAGAACGCGUGGAGCAUGUGGCUUAAUUUGACUCAACGCGGGAAAUCUUACCGGGUCCGGACACACUGAGGAUUGACAGGCAAUAUCUCAUGGUUAUUAACCCGGUUAUUACAUUUUGUUUAAUCGGUUAUUAAGCAUCGAGUGUUAAAUAUGCUAGUCCUUUCAUGAUUAUGUGAUAGGUGGUGCAUGGCCGUUCUUAGUUCGUGGAGUGAUCUGUCUGCUUAAUUGCGUUUCACUAAGGGCCCAUAAAUUCAAGGUAUGUUAGCUAUCGUCGCUCUAUGGACCCCUUAUACUCGAUUUCGCUUUAAUUAG